Molecule: long non-coding RNA, 803 nt
Filed under: Homo sapiens (human)
Lineage: Eukaryota; Metazoa; Chordata; Mammalia; Primates; Hominidae
Description: HSALNT0313762
Source: RNAcentral
GAGAGAUUUCAUCUACGGGAAAAAGACCCUCUGAAAAGAAGUGUGAAAUCAUCAAAAGAGCCAUUGGAGGGGACACCAGAGAGUCGUGUGGCUGAGGUUUCACAUGAUCCCGCCAUGCUUCCAGUCCAGAGGAGAAAGCUAGACCCACUCCUCAAAAAGUAUAGGCAUCAUAAGAAGGCCACAAGGACAAAAAGAAGGAGGAAGGAGAAAAUGGAGGCCCAGUGCUCCCCUGUUCCUCCAACACCUUCAACACCACCACAAAGUGAAGAAGAUGAGGCUGUAGACAAAAAGCCAACUCUACUCAGUGCCCAGGAAGAUACUCCUGACCUUCUCCAUGAGGACAGAUUACAGUAUCUGCAGGAAGAGGGUUCCGGUGUGAUGCAUCAGGAAUGUCAGAUCCAGUCCUGUGAGCUCUCGGUGGCUCAGAAGCCCAGGCCCUCUUCUCCUGCAGUGACAUCCUUGGCAUCACCACCACUCUGCUUUGGCAGUUUCCUAAGCUGUGUCUGCCAGACCUUCUCAAGGUCUAGGAAGCAGAAGCCUCCCAGAAGAAAGGGUAACAACCAGGCUGAGGCAGGAGGUGAUGCUGAGGUCCUGAGACCUGGCCCGGCAAAACCAGAGUUGAGCCUCAGCAAAACGUGUAGCCACUUGAAAUCGAUAGAGCUUUCCUUUGUGUUUAGUUUUAUAGUUCUCUCUGUAUGUCAUUGUUCCUCUUAGUUGAGUUUUUGCCUGUCAAAGAGAUAGAGAGCUGCUUUUAUGCUGAGAUCCUCAAGCCAAAACCCACAGUAAACGCAAAGUAAAACUUU